UCGGGCGUGGUGUACGGAACACUGCGGGUCUUCUUCGUCAAAGAACACGAGAGACUUGGGAGCCCGCAGACCGGGGUUCGACUCCCCGCGCCCGAA
Molecule: non-coding RNA, 96 nt
Organism: Mycena rosella
Lineage: Eukaryota; Fungi; Basidiomycota; Agaricomycetes; Agaricales; Mycenaceae
Source: the annotation of a GenBank genome assembly